UAUGUGGCAAGGUUAAGUGUAAGAAUCUAUGUAAACAAUAUAUGUGGCAAGGUUAAGUGUAAGAAUCUAUGUAAACAAUAUAUGUGGCAAGGUUAGGUGUAAGAAUCUAUGUAAACAAUAUAUGUGGCAAGGUUAAGUGUAAGAAUCUAUGUAAACAAUAUAUGUGGCAAGGUUAGGUGUAAGAAUCUAUGUAAACAAUAUAUGUGGCAAGGUUAAGUGUAAGAAUCUAUGUAAACAAUAUAAGUGGCAAGGUUAAGUGUAAGAAACAGUGCGGCAGAUUCAUGAGGAUAAUGUAUAAUUGCUAAGAAACGUAAAAAUGAAGAAAUAGCAAAACGUUCAUGAGGUAAAAUUACAUUAGUCUACGAUUUUCACCUAAUUUUCUUUUAGUUCUCGCAAAUAAAAGGGUAACUAUUGUAGAAGAAUCUCUCUCUCUCUCUCUCUCUCUCUCUCUCUCUC
Long non-coding RNA from Eriocheir sinensis (Chinese mitten crab), 456 nucleotides. RefSeq lists it as uncharacterized. The transcript has 3 exons. The record is from RefSeq and is a predicted model, not a curated record. NCBI's taxonomy places the organism in Eukaryota, Metazoa, Arthropoda, Malacostraca, Decapoda, Varunidae.